This 292-nucleotide ribosomal RNA is filed under the name uncultured bacterium. Its description in RNAcentral is "partial 16S ribosomal RNA". It matches the Rfam family "Bacterial small subunit ribosomal RNA", at positions 505 to 796 of the family's 1533-position model. The record is from RNAcentral.
GUGCCAGCAGCCGCGGUAAGACGAAGGAUGCAAGCGUUAUCCGGAUUCAUUGGGUUUAAAGGGAGCGUAGGCGGACUUAUAAGUCAGUGGUGAAAUCUCCGGGCUUAACCCGGAAACUGCCAUUGAUACUGUAGGUCUAGAGUACAUUUGCUGUGGGCGGAAUAUGACAUGUAGUGGUGAAAUACUUAGAUAUGUCAUAGAACACCGAUUGCGAAGGCAGCUCACAAAAAUGUAACUGACGCUGAGGCUCGAAAGUGCGGGGAUCAAACAGGAUUAGAAACCCCCGUAGUCC